GACGUAGGGCGCGAGCGUUGUCCGGAUUUACUGGGCGUAAAGAGCGCGCAGGCGGUCGUUCAAGUCGCGUGUGAAAGCCCCCGGCUCAACUGGGGAGGGUCACGCGAUACUGAUCGACUCGAAGGCAGGAGAGGGUAGUGGAAUUCCCGGUGUAGUGGUGGAAAUGCGUAGAUAUCGGGAGGAACACCAGUGGCGAAGGCGACUACCUGGCCUGUUCUUGACGCUGAGGCGCGAAAGCUAGGGGAGCAACGGGAUUAAGAA
RNAcentral lists this ribosomal RNA (261 nucleotides) under uncultured bacterium. Its description in RNAcentral is "partial 16S ribosomal RNA". It matches the Rfam family "Bacterial small subunit ribosomal RNA", at positions 524 to 784 of the family's 1533-position model. The record is from RNAcentral.